This is a long non-coding RNA of Ooceraea biroi (clonal raider ant), 542 nucleotides long. RefSeq lists it as uncharacterized. NCBI's taxonomy places the organism in Eukaryota, Metazoa, Arthropoda, Insecta, Hymenoptera, Formicidae. The record is from RefSeq and is a predicted model, not a curated record.
AUUGAGACAGAUACGAGUUGAAAUAGCCGCUUCUAAAAUCUCGUUCUAAUCUGAUAUAAUCUGAUUUUGAGCUUAGGAAUGCAACAGAAAAUCUCUUCUUCUUCGUCUUGAUCACACGUUAUCGCAACGCUGGUUCAACAUUUAACAUGAAAGAGCACACUCGUAUGGUACUUGAUCGUUGCACAUUAGGAAGCUGCUCGAAGAAGAAGGCGAUCCCGUAUUAUCUUGUGAAAGGAUUAAUCUUCUCCCGGACGGAAAACGCCCUGUAGUCACAAUUGCAAUGGACUCACUUGGACUUCGCGGCGCAUCACGUCACACACACGUUCGUGGCAGAUAAAAGCGGAUGCACACCGUUACCGUUAUUCACAAGUGAAUUAUCCAACUUAUAUAUUAAUAUCCAAUUUAUAUGUCAAGUAAAUUAUUUUCUCCUUGCAUAUUAUUAUAAUUAAUUGCUCUAUGCAAAAUCACAUAAAAAAUAUUCCACAAUAUGUACAAUGGCUUUUAAUGUAUCGCCACACCUGAGAUUAAUAACGCGUGUAAGU